UCCAGAAAAUUGAGAUUGUUGGAUAAUCAAUCUUUCAAGAAGGAGUUGAUGCUAUUGGAUUAAUUCCUUUUAUCUGUUGGUAUGAUACACAUGUCAGAUUGCACACAGCUGAAGCCCAAGAACAGUUCCUCUAUCUCAUCAGUCCCUGCUUCCCCAGGUGAUGCUGUGCACAGCGAAGGCUCUCAGCAAUGUGGUCCCAUUGCUUGCUGCCGGCUCUGUGUCCUUGCCAGUGCAACUCCAGACAGCGCUCUGUUCUCCAGAGAAAGCAAAUGGGGCACGCCACAACUGUCAGCCAUGUAUUCCGGCUCCAUCAGAGUCAUCAGAAACAUCCUGAACUUUUCAUGCCCAAAGUUGGACAGUAGAGCAUGAUCCUUGGUGCCUGUAGCUGACAUGUUCUGUGUAGUGUGGCUCUAUCCAAAGAAGAGGGGAAAUGGGAGAAGUGUGGAUCACUCCAUUAACCUGUCUGACCAAAGACCAUUUGGCUCCUGCAUCCCUCUUGAGUAUGAUCUAACUAGAGACAAAGUGCACUGAGAAAUUCCAGGGUUCCGUGCAGAGUUCCAAGUUCUAAAGCACCAAGGCUGCAUCAGACACUCAAUUCUAAAGAACCACACAUUAAAAAUCAAAGAUUCAGUAAAUAUUUCCCCAAGGACAGUCAUCCUCAGUUUCCUGCAUACCCAUUAUUCACUAUUCAUUUUAUUUUCCUUUUGUAACGUGCUUUUGGACUGUUCUUUAAAAUGACAUUAUUCUAAAGUUUUUUCUAGAGACUGCAUUCCAACUUCAGGUAACAACAUUUGUAUAUAUUUCUUCAGCAGCUGUUACUCCAGUAAAGAAGAGCUGAGUCUAAAUCUUCAAGAGAAAUUCGAAUUCUCCAACUGCUCUUCUGCAUCAAGGAUCUCCUAGACCAUUCCCAGGUUGGAGGAUUUGCUAGGAGGAAUCACAGGACUCAGUAUACAGUCAUCUGCAUGGCUAUGGUUUAUUUCAGCAAAACACCACAAAGCUAAACCAGUAAAGAGAAAAUACACACAGGGUAUUGUCUCAAGGAAACCAGGCAGAAGCAUCUAAGAGUCCUCUCCCAGUGGAGUCACAUAGGACAUGCUUGAUUUCUCCAGCAUCAAGCUGUGACAACACACAUGAACUGCUACCAACCAAGAAGGCCAAGGGCCCCAAGUUUUUGCUGGGGGGAUGGCCACAUAAGCACCCUUUGCCUAACAUACACUAAAAUACCAGACUUCCAGAGGAAAGGCAGGUGUGCAGCAUCAACCACGCUGUUUGCACACACACUUCAGGCCACUUUUACCAGUUAAGGAAUUGUGGGAACCCUCCCUACCUCUGAGUUCCCAGAUGCCAGCCCAGGGCCAACCUGGCAUGCAGGCCUUUCCUAAGGACAGCAGUCUCAGGUCUGCCAUUAACUCUUUUCUGCACCUCUUCUCUACAUUCCAAAUGUGGCUUGUCUACAUGCUAACCCCACUGAAAUAACAAAUUUUGGGCCGGGCACAGUGACUCAUGCCUGCAAUCCCAGCACUUUGGGAAGCCGAGGCAGGCAGAUCAUGAGGUCAGAAGAUCAAGACCAUCCUGGCCAACAUGGUGAAAACCUGUCUCUACUAAAAUAAAAUAAAAUAAAUUAGCCAGGCAUGGUGGUGUAUGUCUGUAGUCCCAGCUACCUGGGAAGCUGAGGCAGGGGAAUCACUUGAAUCUGGGAAGAAGAGGUUGCAGUGAACUGAGAUUAUGCCACUGCAUUCCAGCCUGGUGACAGUCUCAAAAAAAAAGAAAUAACAAAUUUCAUUCUUUCUUUCUCAACAGCAGGCUGAGCAGGUGCACUUUCAAGAAUCUCUUUUUAGUCUUUCCUGUGUAUUCAUGGCAAGACCCACAGGGCUUCUUUCAGAAAUGAAGCGAUGUUUUGUUGGGACAUGUGUUACUUAGACUGAGGGAGCUGGUGUGGAAACCUUUCUAGGACUGUUCAAAAUGUAUCAAAAACAUGUCAGUGAGGCCUUGGCCAAAUCAAAUAAAAAUGAGUCCAUGUGUUCA
Molecule: long non-coding RNA, 2025 nt
Organism: Callithrix jacchus (white-tufted-ear marmoset)
Lineage: Eukaryota; Metazoa; Chordata; Mammalia; Primates; Cebidae
Source: RefSeq, a predicted model, not a curated record